Molecule: unclassified non-coding RNA, 200 nt
Filed under: soil metagenome
Description: partial contains internal transcribed spacer 2 and large subunit ribosomal RNA
Source: RNAcentral
CUGUUCGAGCGUCAUUAUAACCAAUCAAGCCUGGCUUGGUGUUGGGGUUCGCGGUCUCGCGGCCCUUAAAAUCAGUGGCGGUACUGCACUGUGUGCCUAGCGUAGUAAUUCUUCUCGCUAUGGUGCCGGGCAGUCUCCUCCAGAACUCCCCCCCCUUUACGGUUGACCUCGGAUCAGGUAGGGAUACCCGCUGAACUUAA